This 495-nucleotide ribosomal RNA is filed under the name uncultured bacterium. RNAcentral's name for it is "partial 16S ribosomal RNA". It matches the Rfam family "Bacterial small subunit ribosomal RNA", at positions 28 to 507 of the family's 1533-position model. The record is from RNAcentral.
GACGAACGCUGGCGGCGUGCCUAAUACAUGCAAGUAGAACGCUGAAGGAGGAGCUUGCUUCUCUGGAUGAGUUGCGAACGGGUGAGUAACGCGUAGGUAACCUGCCUGGUAGAGGGGGAUAACUAUUGGAAACGAUAGCUAAUACCGCAUAAUAGCAGUUGUUGCAUGAUAACUGUUUGAAAGGUGCAAUUGCACCGCUACCAGAUGGACCUGCGUUGUAUUAGCUAGUUGGUGGGGUAACGGCUCACCAAGGCGACGAUACAUAGCCGACCUGAGAGGGUGAUCGGCCACACUGGGACUGAGAAACGGCCCAGACUCCUACGGGAGGCAGCAGUAAGGAAACUUCGGCAAUGGACGGAAGUCUGACCGAACAACGCCGCGUGAGGGAAUAAAGUUUUCGGAUCGGAAAGCUCUGUUGUAAGAGAAGAACGAGUGUGAGAGUGGAAAGUUCACACUGUGACGGUACCUUACCAGAAAGGGACGGCUAACUACGUG